GCCUACGGGAGGCAGCAGUGGGGAAUAUUGGACAAUGGGGGCAACCCUGAUCCAGCAAUGCCGCGUGUGUGAUGAAGGCCUUCCGGUUGUAAAGCUCUUUCGGCGGGGAAGAUGAUGACGGUACCCGCAGAAGAAGCCCCGGCUAACUUCGUGCCAGCAGCCGCGGUAA
RNAcentral lists this ribosomal RNA (169 nucleotides) under uncultured bacterium. RNAcentral describes it as "partial 16S ribosomal RNA". It matches the Rfam family "Bacterial small subunit ribosomal RNA", at positions 337 to 523 of the family's 1533-position model. The record is from RNAcentral.